AACGAACGCUGGCGGCAUGCCUAACACAUGCAAGUCGAACGAGUGCCUUCGGGUGCUAGUGGCGCACGGGUGCGUAACGCGUGGGAAUCUGCCCUUUGGUUCGGAAUAACAGUUGGAAACGACUGCUAAUACCGGAUGAUGACGAAAGUCCAAGGAUUUAUCGCCAGAGGAUGAGCCCGCGUAGGAUUAGCUAGUCGGUG
RNAcentral lists this ribosomal RNA (200 nucleotides) under uncultured bacterium. Its description in RNAcentral is "partial 16S ribosomal RNA". It matches the Rfam family "Bacterial small subunit ribosomal RNA", at positions 29 to 254 of the family's 1533-position model. The record is from RNAcentral.